GACUACUGGGGUAUCUAAUCCUGUUUGCUCCCCACGCUUUCGCGUCUCAGCGUCAAUAAUGUUCCAGUAGAUCGCCUUCGCAAUCGGUAUUCCUUCUGAUCUCUACGGAUUUUACCCCUACACCAGAAAUUCCAUCUACCUCUCCCACAUUCUAGGUAUACAGUUUCAAAAGCAGUUCAAUAGUUGAGCUAUUGGAUUUCACUUCUGACUUAUAUACCCGCCUACACGCUCUUUACGCCCAGUGAUUCCGAGUAACGCUUGCACCCUCCGUAUUACCGCGGCUGCUGGCACGGAGUUAGCCGGUGCUUAUUCAUAUAGUACCGUCAUUAUCUUCCUAUAUAAAAGGAGUUUACGCACCGAAAUGUGUCAUCCUCCACGCGGCGUUGCUGCAUCAGACUUUCGUCCAUUGUGCAAUAUUCCCCACUGCAGCCCCCCGUAGG
RNAcentral lists this ribosomal RNA (440 nucleotides) under uncultured Arcobacter sp. Its description in RNAcentral is "partial 16S ribosomal RNA". Lineage: Bacteria; Pseudomonadati; Campylobacterota; Epsilonproteobacteria; Campylobacterales; Arcobacteraceae. The record is from RNAcentral.